Molecule: ribosomal RNA, 437 nt
Filed under: uncultured Ethanoligenens sp.
Lineage: Bacteria; Bacillati; Bacillota; Clostridia; Eubacteriales; Oscillospiraceae
Description: partial 16S ribosomal RNA
Rfam family: Bacterial small subunit ribosomal RNA
Source: RNAcentral
ACGGGAGGCAGCAGUGGGGGAUAUUGCACAAUGGAGGAAACUCUGAUGCAGCAACGCCGCGUGAAGGAAGAAGGUCUUCGGAUUGUAAACUUCUGUUUUUAGUGAAGAAACAAAUGACGGUAGCUAAAGAGGAAGCCACGGCUAACUACGUGCCAGCAGCCGCGGUAAUACGUAGGUGGCAAGCGUUGUCCGGAUUUACUGGGUGUAAAGGGUGCGCAGGCGGGACUGCAAGUUGGAUGUGAAAUACCGAGGCUUAACCUCGGGGCUGCAUCCAAAACUGUAGUUCUUGAGUGGAGUAGAGGUAAGCGGAAUUCCGAGUGUAGCGGUGAAAUGCGUAGAUAUUCGGAGGAACACCAGUGGCGAAGGCGGAUUACUGGACGACAACUGACGGUGAGGCGCGAAAGCGUGGGGAGCGAACAGGAUUAGAUACCCUGGUA